Molecule: ribosomal RNA, 453 nt
Filed under: uncultured Gammaproteobacteria bacterium
Lineage: Bacteria; Pseudomonadati; Pseudomonadota; Gammaproteobacteria
Description: bacterial SSU rRNA
Rfam family: Bacterial small subunit ribosomal RNA
Source: RNAcentral
GCCUAACACAUGCAAGUCGAACGGUAACAUUUCUAGCUUGCUAGAAGAUGACGAGUGGCGGACGGGUGAGUAAUGCUUGGGAACUUGCCUUUGCGAGGGGGAUAACAGUUGGAAACGACUGCUAAUACCGCAUAAUGUCUUCGGACCAAACGGGGCUUCGGCUCCGGCGCAAAGAGAGGCCCAAGUGAGAUUAGCUAGUUGGUAAGGUAACGGCUUACCAAGGCGACGAUCUCUAGCUGUUCUGAGAGGAAGAUCAGCCACACUGGGACUGAGACACGGCCCAGACUCCUACGGGAGGCAGCAGUGGGGAAUAUUGCACAAUGGGGGAAACCCUGAUGCAGCCAUGCCGCGUGUGUGAAGAAGGCCUUCGGGUUGUAAAGCACUUUCAGUUGUGAGGAAAAGUUAGUAGUUAAUACCUGCUAGCCGUGACGUUAACAACAGAAGAAGCACCGG